RNAcentral lists this ribosomal RNA (253 nucleotides) under uncultured bacterium. Its description in RNAcentral is "partial 16S ribosomal RNA". It matches the Rfam family "Bacterial small subunit ribosomal RNA", at positions 524 to 776 of the family's 1533-position model. The record is from RNAcentral.
UACGUAGGGUGCGAGCGUUAAUCGGAAUUACUGGGCGUAAAGCGUGCGCAGGCGGUUCGUUGUGUCGGCGGUGAAAGCCCCGGGCUUAACCUGGGAAUGGCCGUUGAAACUGGCGAACUGGAGUGUGGCAGAGGGGGGUGGAAUUCCGCGUGUAGCAGUGAAAUGCGUAGAGAUGCGGAGGAACACCGAUGGCGAAGGCAGCCCCCUGGGCUAACACUGACGCUCAGGCACGAAAGCGUGGGGAGCAAGCAGG